Monodelphis domestica (gray short-tailed opossum) is the source of this 102-nucleotide small nuclear RNA. NCBI's taxonomy places the organism in Eukaryota, Metazoa, Chordata, Mammalia, Didelphimorphia, Didelphidae. The record is from Ensembl.
UAUGGUGACACCUAUACUUAAAAAAAAAUGGAACAGUGCAGAGAAGAUUAGCAUUUCCCCAGCAAGGGUAACUUGCAAGUUUAUGAAGCAUUUUGUAUAUUU